This 253-nucleotide ribosomal RNA is filed under the name uncultured bacterium. Its description in RNAcentral is "partial 16S ribosomal RNA". It matches the Rfam family "Bacterial small subunit ribosomal RNA", at positions 524 to 776 of the family's 1533-position model. The record is from RNAcentral.
UACGUAGGGGGCAAGCGUCAUCCGGAUUUACUGGGUGUAAAGGGAGCGUAGACGGACUUGCAAGUCUGAUGUGAAAAUCCGGGGCCCAACCCCGGAACUGCAUUGGAAACUGUAUAUCUAGAGUGUCGGAGAGGCAAGUGGAAUUCCUGGUGUAGCGGUGAAAUGCGUAGAUAUCAGGAGGAACACCAGUGGCGAAGGCGGCUUGCUGGACGAUGACUGACGUUGAGGCUCGAAAGCGUGGGGAGCAAACAGG